Molecule: ribosomal RNA, 819 nt
Filed under: uncultured bacterium
Lineage: Bacteria
Description: bacterial SSU rRNA
Rfam family: Bacterial small subunit ribosomal RNA
Source: RNAcentral
AGAGUUUGAUCAUGGCUCAGGACGAACGCUGGCGGCGUGCUUAACACAUGCAAGUCGAACGAAAAGAGGGAAAGAGCUUGCUCUUUCCGGAAUUGAGUGGCAAACGGGUGAGUAACACGUAAACAACCUGCCUUCAGGAUGGGGACAACAGACGGAAACGACUGCUAAUACCGAAUAAGUUCCAAGGGCCGCAUGGCCCAUGGAAGAAAAGGUGGCCUCUACCUGUAAGCUAUCGCCUGAAGAGGGGUUUGCGUCUGAUUAGCUGGUUGGAGGGGUAACGGCCCACCAAGGCGACGAUCAGUAGCCGGUCUGAGAGGAUGAACGGCCACACUGGAACUGAGACACGGUCCAGACUCCUACGGGAGGCAGCAGUGGGGAAUCUUCCGCAAUGGGCGAAAGCCUGACGGAGCAACGCCGCGUGAGUGAUGACGGCCUUCGGGUUGUAAAACUCUGUGAUCCGGGACGAAAAGGCAGAGUGCGAAGAACAAACUGCAUUGACGGUACCGGAAAAGCAAGCCACGGCUAACUACGUGCCAGCAGCCGCGGUAAUACGUAGGUGGCAAGCGUUGUCCGGAAUUAUUGGGCGUAAAGCGCGCGCAGGCGGCUUCCCAAGUCCCUCUUAAAAGUGCGGGGCUUAACCCCGUGAUGGGAAGGAAACUGGGAAGCUGGAGUAUCGGAGAGGAAAGUGGAAUUCCUAGUGUAGCGGUGAAAUGCGUAGAGAUUAGGAAGAACACCGGUGGCGAAGGCGACUUUCUGGACGAAAACUGACGCUGAGGCGCGAAAGCGUGGGGAGCAAACAGGAUUAGAUACCCUGGUAGU